This is a long non-coding RNA of Hypanus sabinus (Atlantic stingray), 944 nucleotides long. RefSeq lists it as uncharacterized. The record is from RefSeq and is a predicted model, not a curated record. The transcript has 3 exons. NCBI's taxonomy places the organism in Eukaryota, Metazoa, Chordata, Chondrichthyes, Myliobatiformes, Dasyatidae.
CAGUGGUUACGCAAUCAUAGAAGUAGAGAGAGAGAGAAGAAUUGGCAGCUUCGUAUAAACCUAAAGAAUUGGGUUGGAGUCAACGGCAUUCUGUGUGUCUUGAAUGUGAUUGACCUGCAUUGUGACACACACUUUUGGUUAACUCCUGCAUGGAUUCGGUUGUUGUGUGGUGACCACCUCCGAUGAAAGAAUUCCUGCUGCAGCUCUGACUCAUCCUGACCUAGCACCAGAUAAGGAAUGCACUAUUAAAGAGGUACAAGAGACUGCAGGUGCCAGAAACUGAAGCAAUGUGCAAAGCACUGGAGAAAUUCAGCAGGUUGAGCAGCAGCUAUAGAGGAAAAUCAACAAUCAGCAUCUUAGGUUGUGACCUUUCAUCUGGACUGGAAAGAAAGAGGGGAGAUGUAUAUAAAAAGAAGUGAAUAUUGGGAGUAACAACUGUUUCACUCUCCUUACACUUGUGUACAGGAAAUAAUAUUAAAGUAUUUUGAAUCUGGAACUUUUACCAGAACACAAGGGAGUCUGUAGAUGCUGGAAAUCCAGAGUAAUACACACAAACACUGAAAAGUUUCAGCCUGAACCAUUGACUCUAUUCCCUUCCAUAGAUGCUGUCUGAUCUGCUGAGUUCCUCCACCAUUUUGUGUGUGUUACUCCAUUUAUCCAAGUCUACAGUUUCCUCUGUUACAGCAGUUGCGACACUUUAAAACUAUCUGCUGAAAAGUGAAGUGGGAUGUCCUGAAAGAAAAUAGGACAGAAUCAUAUUAGGCUGGUUAUAGAUAAACUUUGUCCACAGAUCACAGUGAGGGUCAGAGGAAUGCAGUAUUGAUGCUAUAUAUUGUACAAGACCAUGUCCACAGAUCGUUGAUGAUAGUUGAAUGUUGAUGAUAUAUUGGAUAAUUUGUUGAAAGACAAUGAAGAGAUUAUGUUUGAACUGCAUAGAAUAUUAG